Long non-coding RNA from Brassica napus (rape), 1586 nucleotides. RefSeq lists it as uncharacterized. The record is from RefSeq and is a predicted model, not a curated record. The transcript is spliced from 4 exons. NCBI's taxonomy places the organism in Eukaryota, Viridiplantae, Streptophyta, Magnoliopsida, Brassicales, Brassicaceae.
ACCAUUUAUAUAUAUAUAUAUAUAAAUAUAAAGUUGGGUUUGAUCUAUUUUCAUUGCGCCACGUUAUCAUGGAGAGAGGGGCAAAUCUCAACACGUGGCAUCCUUAAAAAAUCGCAAAGCUCGCUUUAUUUACGUUCGCCGAAAUCGCUGGUUCUUUGUGUUUGGUGGGUUUUUAUUUGAUCCUCAAAUUUUUAUGGGCUUUAAGCAAAUUAGGUUUAGUCAUCUUCUUCCUUCGAUAUUCUCUGUCUCGCAGCCGUAAGUUCUAUGGAACUUAAUACCGAUUAGCUAACCCUUACGUCUUCAGUUUGCAUUAAAAUGUACUUUAUUCCUAGCUUUUACGUGGUUAACCCACUCAUGAAGCAUUCAAUCGACUCAUCGAUUUCCAAAGUAACCAACUAAAGCAACGAGUAUAAAUACACCAACUUCCAGCGAUGAACAGCAUAACUACAACAAGCUCUACAAGGAUAGUUUGUUCAGCUUACCAAUUACGACAACGGCGAAUUCCUACAUCCUUGGGAGCUGCUCCAACACGUUGAGACCAUGGAAAGAACAUGGGAAAAGAUCCAAUUUUAUUCAUCUUUUUACUCAACGCCGAUUUGUUUGGUGGUAGAGGAGGACAUCUACUCUUCUUUGCUGUUUAAAAUCAAUCUAGAUCUGAACCUCUCCAGCGUAUCCUAGCAGAUUCCGAAGACUUUAAAAUCACAUCAGAGCCUGAGGUUGCGAUUACACCAAGUUUGCAGCUUCAGAUGAUCAUUGUCUCCGUUCUUUAAACAUGGGAUGACAGAGUAUGUCAUCGGAGAUUUCAUCAAUAUAUUUGGAAGCGUAGCUAUUAAUUUUGGCACAAACCUUCUCAAAUUGAGACCUAAUCAAAGAGAGAGAGGUUAGCUUUACAGAAUAAUGGUGGAGGAGAAACGCAAUUGAUGCCGCAUAUACAGUUUCAGACAUGGAUAGUUAAUAGCAACUGUUGAUAAGAUUAAAAGGUCAAGAAAAAAAAGUAUAGGUGUCAUUCCUCCACUCCAAUGUUUUAGUAAUUAUCUUCCGAUCAGGCUCUGUUUUCUUAAAUUAUUUUUUACUUUCAUUCUGCAGGAUGAGAACAAGUGAGGAACCGCCAGUAUGUGUGACAUGCUUUUCAUAGCAACGUCGCACUCCUUGCCAAAUUCAUCUUCUCUCUUGACCUGAGCUAAGGUUCAUAAAUCAAAUGAAAAAUAUGAAGGUAGCUACUUGACUCCAUGUUCAAGUAAUGGUGGAUAAGUAUGAAGUCAGCUGUGAUGGUAUGAAAGGAUACUUGACUCCAUGGGCCUAUAUUCAGGUCUCCAGUGAAGGGUAUGGAGGGCAUCUUGACCAACCAACUCAUGUGAGAUCACGGACCUAGAUCAGAGGUUUUUCUAACUUUUAACUCCUCAGCUUCCCCGCCCGUCACACUAUGGGAGUUGGCCAUGCGAAUCUUUCUCAGUCUCUCUCGCUCUUCUUCUUCUCCUAUGAUUAUUGUUUCCAGUCUUCACAACAUUUUUUAACUGCGGCACUAAAAGGGUUUUACUUAAACCAAACUUUGUAUAUAAGUCUUAAUAUUCUAUUCAUAUACCAAA